AUGCUGACUGGAACUUGUCACAUGGCCCUGCUUGACCACGAGAGACUGAGAACUGUGAGGCACCUGGAAAAAGAUGGGGAAACUGAGUUUCAGAGCAGUGAGUGCCCGGCUCAAGCUUACAGAGCAAGGAAAAGACAGAACAUGGACACAGACCAGGCAAGUAUGAUUUUCAAAACCCUUGAUCUUAUCUAUUACAUUCUCCCACCCUUAUAUCUCCUUGUCCUGGCUGCAAACUCCAUUAAACAUCCCCCUGCUUUGAAGCGGUUCAGACAGAAUGUACCCGUGGUUGCUGGCACAUCUCCCAGAGAAGCUCUCUGAGCUCCGUUCCUCCCUCCUCCAGCCCCAGACCUCCUGGCGGCGGCCCCAAUGGGAGUGGAAGGUGCCCCGGUCUGAGUAACUCAUAGCUCCAUCGGCUACCCACAGUGAUGAAUGACACCCAUCCAUCCUGGGCUCUGCUGAUGGCCCAGCUCAUCCAUCAUGGCCUGGCGCUCCCAGGUGAUGUAUUAGUGCCUGGAGAAUGGAUGGCUCAAAAGCCAGUCUUCUUGGGAAGGAAACCGAGCCAAAGAGUGGAUUCCAUCUAAUUGAAUCCACUGGCUGGGCUGAGAGGUACUUUGGCAGCCCCUCUCGGGCUCCUGCAGAAAUAGGACUUGCAGUUCUUGAGCCAUCAGGUCAUUCUCAACUCAUAGCUGAUAAAUGGGGCAUUAUUUUGAAGAAAAAAAAAAUUUAAGGAGGAGCUAUUCGCAGAUUUGCUUCAUGAUGCAAAGCCAAGCAGACUGGGUGAGUCUUCUGGGGAUGAGUGAAGUGUGAACCAAGCAAUGGUGGGGUGAGAAAUAACUGAGAUGGAUCAGAGAUGCUGGGCCAGUAGAUCAGUCAGUGGUCAAGACUGUGAGGUCCGCAGUCAUGAGGACUUGGGGUUAUGUCCUAUAUCUGUCACUUGCAGACUGUGUGACCUUGGGCAAAUCCUUUGACCUCUCUGAACCUCAGUUUCAUUUUCUAUACACGGAGAAUAAUGGUUGUGAUGAUUAAAUGGGAAUCACUCUCUCUCUGUCAGUGUCAAGCAUAGGAAGCCCAGUACAGAGUAAGUGAUGAUGAUGGUGCUGAUAAGAAUAGUUAUAAUUAAAUACCCCAAAACUGUUCUCCCUGCUCUUUGCUCCUUAGAGGUUGUAGUAUUGCCAGAGUGGCAGUGGUAUAAUUGUUACUCCCCCACUGAGCGGUGGCUUGACCAGCCUCAUGACUGCUUCAGCCAAUAGAAUAUGCAAGAAGGGAUGCUGGGCCAGUUCGGUGCCUAGUGAGCCUUUCAAAGAAUUAGACCCUUGACUUCCUUUUUUUUGGAACAUGUGCAUUGGGUGAGCCAACUGCCCUGCAAGAUGCCCAAGUGCCUUGAGACUGCCAUGCUGGGAGGAAGCUCAAGUUACCUAUCUGGAGAGGCCAUGUGGAGAGAGAUGCCCAGCCAGCCGCCGUCUCUCCCAGCCAUCCCAGCUGGGAUGCCAAAUAUACAGGGGAAGAAGUCACCUUGGAUGUUCAGCCCAGUGGAGCCUUCAGAUGAUUAUAGCACCAGCUAUACCACCAUGUAACUGCAUCUGCACAAAAGACCCCAAGUGAGACCCACUCCACUGAGUCCAGUCAAUCCAUGGAGACGAGAGAGAGAAGGAUACACUGUUAUUUUAAGCUACUAAAUUUUGAGGCAGUUUAUUAUGUAGCAAUAGAUAACUGGAGUAGGAGCCAAUCUGUAUAGUGGGAUUAUUCAGAUCAAGUUUCUAAAUACCUUCUGAAUAUCAAGAGCUAUGCUGGGAGCAUAAGCUAGAGAAUGCUGAAUGCGAAUGUCUUGAAAUCCAGCGUGUUUCCUUUCACACCUUAGGGUUCGGAGUUCCUGUUGUGACUCAGCAGGUUAAGAACCCAACACAGUGUCCGUGAGGAUGCGAGUUUGAUCCCUGGCCUUGCUCAGUGGGUUGAGGAUCUGGUGUUGCCAUGGGCUGUGGUGUAGGUCACAGAUACGGAUCUAGUGUUGCUGUGGCUGUGGUGUAGGCUGGCAGCUGCAUCUCUAAUUCGACUCCUAGCCUGGGAACUUCCAUGUGCUGCAGGUGUGGCCGUAAAACAAACAAACAAAUAAGACAAACACCCCCCAAAACCUUAGGGUUCUAAGAUAAUGCUGCAGAGAAUGCCUUUGUCAGCCUCAGAGAGAAUACACUGAUUUUUUGGGGUUAUGAAACUUCAACAAUUUUUCCUCUGUACCCACUUGAUUCCCUUACUUACUCUUAAGUAACCCCUUUCUCAUUUUAUUUUUACAUUGAAUAGAUCAUAGAAUAAGGACUCUAUAGACUGGCGCUUCUCAAACCACCUAUGCAAGAGGACGAAUAAUUUUUUCCUUUUUAAUUUUCAACCUGCGGCACAUGGAUGCUUUUGUAAAAUACAAUAAAAAUGAAUUACUGGGAAAAUGAAAUAAAAGA
RNAcentral lists this long non-coding RNA (2447 nucleotides) under Sus scrofa (pig). Its description in RNAcentral is "lncRNA (ENSSSCG00030012442.1)". The record is from RNAcentral. Lineage: Eukaryota; Metazoa; Chordata; Mammalia; Artiodactyla; Suidae.